This 1792-nucleotide long non-coding RNA is filed under the name Phasianus colchicus (ring-necked pheasant). RNAcentral describes it as "lncRNA (ENSPCLG00000011137.1)". Lineage: Eukaryota; Metazoa; Chordata; Aves; Galliformes; Phasianidae. The record is from RNAcentral.
GAUCAAGCUGUGGGUGUCCCCAUUCACUGUAGGGAAGUUAGACCAGAUGGCCUUUAAUUGUCCUUUCCAAUCAAAUGAUUCUGUGUUUCUACAUUAUCUGGACUUAACAGCUGGUGUGGGUCUUAGCCAUGAUGGGAAGUAAGUCAAGAUUUGAGCAGCCUGGAAGAAAGAGCUGAAGCCAUGCUCUGGUUGUAGCUAUGUAGACACAGCCUUUAAGGCUUAACACCUUUCAUAACCCUUCAGUUUCCCUUUCCUGUAGGUACGCCUUCUCCUCUUAAGCUUUUGUCACCUUUUCAUUUCCACAGCAAAGAGUCCUGAAAUUCAUUUCUCUGUUAAAUGGACAGUUACUUUCUUGCUGGUUGUGAACCUCAAUCCUAGCAGCUUUAUUUGCAGUCCUCAGUCCUUCUGCAAGAGAAGGCUUUUGUACUGAAAGAGAUAAUUCUUCAUUCUUCCUGCGUGUCCACCCAGGACAUCCUCCUGUUCUUAUGUAGCUAUUAUCCUUGUAAUCAUCAAGGUUGUAUAACGUGCACAACAGAGGCAGGAGGAUACCCUUUUAUAGCCAACAGCCAAGAAGUACAUAGGCUGUAGGCCUAUGUUUUGUUCUUCCUCAGGGACAAGCUCUUCAUGAGUACAGUUUCUUCAUUGCGAGGAGUUACUUUGAUGUCCAUCCAGUGCCUCCCAGGGGAUUUCGUACCUAAAGGAGAGACUUCAGACAGUGAUCCUGGCCCACGAUGCAGUCAAAUAUCCAUAGAGAGAGAAACUUUAUUUUUUCAGGAAGAAACAUUUCUCUGAAUCUGUGCAAAAAAUUCAUGUUUCACACGUUUUCCUGUGUGGAAACAGCCUUUUUGUGGGCAGGGUCCUUAGAGCCACAGGUUUCCAGCACCAGGAGGGAAUGAGACAUUUACAAUGAAAAUACAAUGCUAUCACCUCAAUCAUUUCAAGACAGCAUUGCAAAAUGCAUGGCCACCUUCCAGCUGAUAUGUGUUCCAUCAGCUAAAGCAACACAUCCACAUGCCAACGGCUCUUCUGGGUCUGCUCUUCUCUAGCCACAGCUACUGCAACCCAUAAGAAGUGCAGUAGUGUGUUCGCUGACUCCCCAUUGAACCAUAUCAUUCUGUCAGGAACCACCACGGAACAUCCAGUGUAUCCUUUCUACCACAACACAGUGCAGAGAAUUAAUUAGGAGGCAUCCCAGCUCUUAGAUAAGUAGGGAAUACCCUGUGCCUACUAGCACUGCAGCAAUUGCUGGGACUGCUUUCCGGCUUAAAACCCUUGUUAAAGAACUUUUAGUCAAGGCUGUGGUUCUUACAAAGGUUUUUCAGAAGAAAGAGACAUGACUUCAUCCUGUUAGCAAGUGUUAGGGAAGGAAUCAUGCACCAAGGUCCCAGAGGCAUUCAGGAAUCCAAAAUGUGCAGAGCCAGUAAGGGACAGAAUUGCUGGAAUAACAAAAGUUGCAUUACUAUAGCCUAGCAGUUUGAUCCAACGCUAGUUCUGGAGACUCACCUGCAACACAAGCGGAAAACCACCAGCUUGUGCAGCUCUUACACAGACCCCAAAGCAGGAGGAGUCAGCUCUUAUGCGCUUCGCACAGAAUGGUUGCAAGGGAUUAAGUGAAUCCAGUUUAAUUUCCAUUUGUCUUCUGAUGAAAUCUGUAUUGAAGUCAUUAUGAUAGCAUGGGUUUUUUCCAGAUGUGACAGUAAAUGUGUGCAGGCACACUUUUAAUCGUCUGCGGGGCUAGAAAGACAUUUUAUGAUCUAGAUGGACAAGGCUGUUUAAUGUCUGAGGGAAAAAA